GUUUAAUGAUUAAAAUUUAGGGUUUAGUAUUUGGAAGGUGGGGGUUGAUGUUUGGGUUUAGUGACCGUAUUAUGUAUGUUCCAUUUGACGAUUAAAAAAUAGUGUUUUUUUUUGCUUACCAAUUUAUACUAUACUAUGUAUUUUGUUCCAUUCUAUUUGAGUUUAUAGUCUAUACUUGGGUUUAGGGUUUAGUGAUUAGGAUUUAGGGUUUAGUAUUUGGAAGGUGGGAGUUUAGGUUUGGGUUCAGUGAAGAGUUUAGGGUUCAGUAAUUGGGGUUUAGGGUUUAGUAUUUAGAUGGAAGGGUGAUGUUUAAAGUUUAGGGUUUAUUAUUUUGGAGUUGAGGUUUGGAUUAUAGUUUAGUAUUUACUAGGUGUGAGUGGAUUUUGAAUCCUAUUAUUUUUAGUAAUAUGAUAUAGAAAAAUUAGAUGUAUAUUUAUGUGUUAAAAAAAGUUUGGUGUUGAUUGAAUUACGUGUGAUAAUUAAUUAUGGGGUGUCAAAUUGUUGAUGUCAUCAGUUUCUCUCUCUAUUACUGACAACUUGAAUUAAAAAAGGGUAUUACCGGAUAGAAGUUGACAUAAUUGUUAUGGGCUUUAUUAUGUCAAAAUCAAUGCUAUGCACUUAAUUUC
This 626-nucleotide long non-coding RNA is filed under the name Brassica napus (rape). Its description in RNAcentral is "long non-coding RNA (BNAP_LNC005085)". The record is from RNAcentral. Lineage: Eukaryota; Viridiplantae; Streptophyta; Magnoliopsida; Brassicales; Brassicaceae.